This 83-nucleotide transfer RNA is filed under the name Ganoderma leucocontextum. RNAcentral describes it as "tRNA-Asp". It matches the Rfam family "tRNA". From Rfam's summary of the family: Transfer RNA (tRNA) molecules are approximately 80 nucleotides in length. Their secondary structure includes four short double-helical elements and three loops (D, anti-codon, and T loops). The record is from RNAcentral. Lineage: Eukaryota; Fungi; Basidiomycota; Agaricomycetes; Polyporales; Polyporaceae.
UCUCUGUUAGUAUAUCGGUUAGUACACGCGCUUGUCAAACCAUUUGAUCGCGCGAAAGCGGGGUUCGACUCCCCGACAGAGAG